GACGAACGCUGGCGGUGUGCUUCACACAUGCAAGUCGAACGAUGUAGCAAUACCUAGUGGCGGACGGGUGAGUAACGCGUGGGAAUCUGCCUUUAGAUGGGGGAUAACGGGCCGAAAGGUCCGCUAAUACCGCAUAUGCCGCAAGGUGAAAGGAGUAAUCCGUCUAAAGAUGAGCCCGCGUCCGAUUGGCUAGUUGGUAGAGUAAGAGCCUACCAAGGCGACGAUCGGUAGCUGGUCUGAGAGGAUGAUCAGCCACAAUGGGACUGCGACACGGACCAGACACGUACGGGAGGCAGCAGUGGGGGAUUUUACGCAAUGAGGGAAACCCUGACGUAGCGAAACCGCGUGAGCGAAGAAGCCCUUUGAGGUGUAAAGCUCUGUUAGCUGGAACGAAAACAAUGACGGUACCAGCAGAGGAAGCAUCGGCUAACUACGUGCCAGCAGCCGCGGUAA
This 453-nucleotide ribosomal RNA is filed under the name uncultured bacterium. Its description in RNAcentral is "partial 16S ribosomal RNA". It matches the Rfam family "Bacterial small subunit ribosomal RNA", at positions 28 to 523 of the family's 1533-position model. The record is from RNAcentral.